RNAcentral lists this long non-coding RNA (976 nucleotides) under Homo sapiens (human). Its description in RNAcentral is "HSALNT0014338". The record is from RNAcentral. Lineage: Eukaryota; Metazoa; Chordata; Mammalia; Primates; Hominidae.
CAGGGUUUCUUCAUGUUGGCCAGGUUGGUCUCUAACUCUUGACCUCAAGUGAUCCACCUGCUUGGCCUCUCAAAGUGCUAGGAUUACAGAUAUGAGCCACGGCCUGACCUGAACUGUGGGGAAAAGAAAGAGAGAUCAGAUUGUUACUGUGUCUGUGUAGGAAGAAGUAGACAUAAGAGACUCCAUUUUGUUCUGUACUAAGAAAAAUUCUUUUGCCUUGAGACGCUGUUAAUCUGUAACCCUACCCCCAACCCUGUGCUCCCUAAGACAUGGGCUGUGUCAACUCAGGGUUAAAUGGAUUAAGGGCUGUUCAGGGUGUGCUUUGUUAAACAAAUGCUUGAAGGCAGCAUGCUUGUUAAGAGUCAUCACCACUCCCUAAUCUCAAGUACCCAGAGACACUACACUGCGGAAGACUGCAGGGACCUCUGCCUAGGAAAGCCAGGUAUUGUCCAAGGUUUCUCCCCAUGUGAUAGUCUGAAAUACAGCCUCAUGGGAAGGGAAAGACCUGACUGUCCCCCAGCCCGACACCCGUAAAGGGUCUGUGCUGAGGAGGAUUAGUAAAAGAGGAAGGAAGGCCUCUUUGCAGUUGAGAUAAGAGGAAGGCGUCUGUCUCCUGCUCAUCCCUGGGCAAUGGAAUGUCUCGGUGUAAAGCCCGAUUGUAUAUUCCAUCUACUGAGAUAGGAGAAAACCGCCUUAGGACUGGAGGUGGGACAUGCUGGCAGCAAUACUGCUCUUUAAGGCAUUGAGAUGUUUAUGUAUAUGCACAUCAAAAGCACAGCACUUUUUUCUUUACCUUGUUUAUGAUGCAGAGACAUUUGUUCACGUGUUUACCUGCUGAUCUUCUCUCCACUAUUAUCCUAUUGUCCUGCCACAUCCCCCUCUCCGGAAACGCCCGAUAAUGAUCAAUAAAUACUAAGGGAACUCAGAGGCCAGUGCCGGCAUGGGUCCUCCGGCAUGGGUCCUCCGUAUGCGUUCA